GACGUAGGGGGCUAGCGUUGUCCGGAAUCAUUGGGCGUAAAGCGCGUGUAGGCGGUCCGGUAAGUCCGCUGUGAAAGUCGGGGGCUCAACCCUCGGAUGCCGGUGGAUACUGUCGGGCUUGAGUACGGAAGAGGCGAGUGGAAUUCCUGGUGUAGCGGUGAAAUGCGCAGAUAUCAGGAGGAACACCAAUUGCGAAGGCAGCUCGCUGGGACGUUACUGACGCUGAGACGCGAAAGCGUGGGGAGCAAACAGG
This 253-nucleotide ribosomal RNA is filed under the name uncultured bacterium. RNAcentral describes it as "partial 16S ribosomal RNA". It matches the Rfam family "Bacterial small subunit ribosomal RNA", at positions 524 to 776 of the family's 1533-position model. The record is from RNAcentral.